ACUUAAAUUGAAGAGUUUGAUCAUGGCUCAGAUUGAACGCUGGCGGCAGGCCUAACACAUGCAAGUCGAGCGGUAGCACAGAGAGCUUGCUCUCGGGUGACGAGCGGCGGACGGGUGAGUAAUGUCUGGGAAACUGCCUGAUGGAGGGGGAUAACUACUGGAAACGGUAGCUAAUACCGCAUAACGUCGCAAGACCAAAGUGGGGGACCUUCGGGCCUCAUGCCAUCAGAUGUGCCCAGAUGGGAUUAGCUAGUAGGUGGGGUAACGGCUCACCUAGGCGACGAUCCCUAGCUGGUCUGAGAGGAUGACCAGCCACACUGGAACUGAGACACGGUCCAGACUCCUACGGGAGGCAGCAGUGGGGAAUAUUGCACAAUGGGCGCAAGCCUGAUGCAGCCAUGCCGCGUGUGUGAAGAAGGCCUUCGGGUUGUAAAGCACUUUCAGCGGGGAGGAAGGCGGUGAGGUUAAUAACCUCACCGAUUGACGUUACCCGCAGAAGAAGCACCGGCUAACUCCGUGCCAGCAGCCGCGGUAAUACGGAGGGUGCAAGCGUUAAUCGGAAUUACUGGGCGUAAAGCGCACGCAGGCGGUCUGUCAAGUCGGAUGUGAAAUCCCCGGGCUCAACCUGGGAACUGCAUUCGAAACUGGCAGGCUAGAGUCUUGUAGAGGGGGGUAGAAUUCCAGGUGUAGCGGUGAAAUGCGUAGAGAUCUGGAGGAAUACCGGUGGCGAAGGCGGCCCCCUGGACAAAGACUGACGCUCAGGUGCGAAAGCGUGGGGAGCAAACAGGAUUAGAUACCCUGGUAGUCCACGCUGUAAACGAUGUCGAUUUGGAGGUUGUGCCCUUGAGGCGUGGCUUCCGGAGCUAACGCGUUAAAUCGACCGCCUGGGGAGUACGGCCGCAAGGUUAAAACUCAAAUGAAUUGACGGGGGCCCGCACAAGCGGUGGAGCAUGUGGUUUAAUUCGAUGCAACGCGAAGAACCUUACCUGGUCUUGACAUCCACAGAACUUUCCAGAGAUGGAUUGGUGCCUUCGGGAACUGUGAGACAGGUGCUGCAUGGCUGUCGUCAGCUCGUGUUGUGAAAUGUUGGGUUAAGUCCCGCAACGAGCGCAACCCUUAUCCUUUGUUGCCAGCGGUUAGGCCGGGAACUCAAAGGAGACUGCCAGUGAUAAACUGGAGGAAGGUGGGGAUGACGUCAAGUCAUCAUGGCCCUUACGACCAGGGCUACACACGUGCUACAAUGGCAUAUACAAAGAGAAGCGACCUCGCGAGAGCAAGCGGACCUCAUAAAGUAUGUCGUAGUCCGGAUUGGAGUCUGCAACUCGACUCCAUGAAGUCGGAAUCGCUAGUAAUCGUAGAUCAGAAUGCUACGGUGAAUACGUUCCCGGGCCUUGUACACACCGCCCGUCACACCAUGGGAGUGGGUUGCAAAAGAAGUAGGUAGCUUAACCUUCGGGAGGGCGCUUACCACUUUGUGAUUCAUGACUGGGGUGAAGUCGUAACAAGGUAACCGUAGGGGAACCUGCGGUUGGAUCACCUCCUUACCUUAAAGAA
This 1554-nucleotide ribosomal RNA is filed under the name Klebsiella variicola. Its description in RNAcentral is "bacterial SSU rRNA". It matches the Rfam family "Bacterial small subunit ribosomal RNA". The record is from RNAcentral. Lineage: Bacteria; Pseudomonadati; Pseudomonadota; Gammaproteobacteria; Enterobacterales; Enterobacteriaceae.